RNAcentral lists this small RNA (1273 nucleotides) under Arabidopsis thaliana (thale cress). RNAcentral's name for it is "ATSL202030". The record is from RNAcentral. Lineage: Eukaryota; Viridiplantae; Streptophyta; Magnoliopsida; Brassicales; Brassicaceae.
UGAAACGCCCGCGAUCCUCAAUAGGAUCGUUGGCUAGGACUUGGUCCGAGAGAAGAAGGUGGAGUCUCGGACAAGUGAGAAGGAGCUGGCCAUAAGCUCGGACAAAGGGGAAAUCAUGCAGGCUAAGCUAGGAUCGUAAAGAAAUCAGCAAGGUCAGCUCGCCCAAAGCUCAAGCUCAGCUGGAAGGAGUGACGGUUACUCAGGUCGAGUGACGGUUGAGCUCGAGGUAGCUGGAUGAGUAACGGAUGAGCUCGAGGUAGCUGGACGAGUGACGGACUAGCUGGGCGGUUAUGGGCGCAGAGAUACAACUCUUCGGAAAGGUGCAACUCUUCGGAAGGACGCAACUCUUCGGAAAGGUGCAACUCUUUGGAAAGGUGCAAGGAACGGAUGUGUUGACACACCGAAAACACAAGAAACUCACCAUUAAAACUCUCUCCCUCUUGGGAGAAUAAAUAGUCUUAGGAUUCGGUAGCCGGGCUGUGGCCGGCAAUAAAGAAGGAGGGUCGGAUCGACCUAACCUCGAGAAGGAAGGUAAGGGAUCCUAGACUUUGAGUCUAAGGGUUCUAGGAUGUGAGUUAGUAGUCGGAUCCUUGAAAGGAUCGACUAGAGGGCUGGGUAGUAUCCGGGUCAUGUGCAUCCUACACAAGACUAGGUCCGGGUAGGGAUCGGCUGAGGCGGGGACGCGGCUCGGCGGAGGACCGGCGGAUCUUAACUGACCUGCCGAGAAUCGGCCGGGCUGAUGCGCGAUCUUCCCCUCUUUGAAUUCUCUCCACGGAUCCGAGUAGUGUAUGGCAUAUACAGCAUUGCAUGGACUUGCAUAUGAUUAAGUAAAUGAGAUUACUUAUGGCUCUAUGACUUUCAGGAACGAAUGGUGAUCGUGGGAACGACUUGGCUUAGGCGCGAGAGACUCAAGGCCGGGAUGAUGGGUGGUGAUAGUUCGGAUAGUCUAGGGAUCGAUUACAUGACUUGUAAUAGCUUAUAUGCAAACUCAUAGGUUGUAUCGAAUCCUUUGCUUAAUCAAUAAAGUAUCCGAUUGUUUGUUUACUCUAUUCGUCUCAUAUAUUGAAUCACGAAAUCAUAUGGAACGGAUUAGACUAGGAAAGAACCUCAUAAACGGUUAGGGCCGAGUCACUUAGUGGCUUGGGUCGAGAGAACUCGUCCGGACUUUAGGCAGUCCGGAUCGGGGCCUUUCAACCCACCUGUUGAUUAAACAACUGCAGAGUCAAGCUAUUGACUAUAAACAAGUGCUAAGUGGGAUUUUAGCUUAGGAUUU